Molecule: ribosomal RNA, 492 nt
Filed under: uncultured bacterium
Lineage: Bacteria
Description: partial 16S ribosomal RNA
Rfam family: Bacterial small subunit ribosomal RNA
Source: RNAcentral
AGUGAACGCUGGCGGUAGGCCUAACACAUGCAAGUCGAACGGCAGCACAGUAAGAACUUGCUCUUACGGGUGGCGAGUGGCGGACGGGUGAGGAAUACAUCGGAAUCUACUUUUUCGUGGGGGAUAACGUAGGGAAACUUACGCUAAUACCGCAUACGACCUACGGGUGAAAGCAGGGGAUCUUCGGACCUUGCGCGAUUGAAUGAGCCGAUGUCGGAUUAGCUAGUUGGCGGGGUAAAGGCCCACCAAGGCGACGAUCCGUAGCUGGUCUGAGAGGAUGAUCAGCCACACUGGAACUGAGACACGGUCCAGACUCCUACGGGAGGCAGCAGUGGGGAAUAUUGGACAAUGGGCGCAAGCCUGAUCCAGCCAUACCGCGUGGGUGAAGAAGGCCUUCGGGUUGUAAAGACCUUUUGUUGGGAAAGAAAAGCAGAAGGUUAAUACCCCGCUGUUCUGACGGUACCCAAAGAAUAAGCACCGGCUAACUUCGUG